AUUCGUAUCAAUACCAGCACUAAUGUAUCGGAUUCUAUUAGAACUCCGCAGUUAAGCAUGCUUGGGCGAGAGUAGUACUAGGAUGGGUGACCUCCUGGGAAGUCCUCGUGUUGCACCCC
This is a non-coding RNA of Gossypium arboreum, 119 nucleotides long. Lineage: Eukaryota; Viridiplantae; Streptophyta; Magnoliopsida; Malvales; Malvaceae. The record is from Rfam.